ACACAUGCAAGUCGAAGGAGAAGGUAAAAGCUUGCUUUUACUGGAGACUGGCGGACGGGUGAGUAACGCGUAGAUAACCUGCCUUUGCCUGGGGGAUAACACUGCGAAAGUGGUGCUAAUACCGCAUAAUGCAGCGGGGCCGCAUGGUCAUAGUUGUUAAAGGUUUCGGCCGGGUAAAGAUGGGUCUGCGUGCUAUUAGCUAGUUGGUAAGGUAACGG
RNAcentral lists this ribosomal RNA (218 nucleotides) under Gambierdiscus australes. Its description in RNAcentral is "partial Bacterial small subunit ribosomal RNA". It matches the Rfam family "Bacterial small subunit ribosomal RNA", at positions 51 to 263 of the family's 1533-position model. Lineage: Eukaryota; Dinophyceae; Gonyaulacales; Pyrocystaceae. The record is from RNAcentral.